UCUGACAAUCAUGCACAAUAUUCAAACAAUAAAAAGAAAUACGGAAGUUUUAACAUACGAAAACAUGGUCAAUACGAAAGGAAACUCUUGACACUCAAACAUCUGAAUCAGUCUGUGAAAUCUAAAACAAUUACAAGAAUCAACAUCCGUCUAAAAGAAAAACUUAUACAAGGCCCCCAGUCAAACCAUGAAUCAAAUAAAUAGCAAUGUUCCAUAAACCCGGCCUUUCGAAAUAGGGGAGGCUCAUCAACUGCAAAUCUCAGACACACCACCUACUGCUUAGCGGGACCCCGGACUGAGCCUCAGAUCCUAAAAUAUAGAGGGCAAUACAAUUGUACUAGUACGGAGAGCAAUCCAAAACAAAAAUAUAUUUUUACAUAAUAUAAGUGAGAGCAUUUCAUAAAACACAUGUCAUCUUAAAAUAGUUGAAAAUACAUGGGCAUAAUAUAAAUCUUUCAAAACAGAUUCUACAAAUCAUGACUCUACACUUUCUUCUCUUCUAAGCUAGAUGGUACAUCCUACAAUCUGUAAUUCCACGGGCUAUAUGGAAUCUGCCUUUGACUCAGCGGCCAAGCUCCCAAUCUAAGUUUGCCGCAAAGGUUGGAGUAUCUGCUUAUCUACUACACCACAGAGUCAUCAUCAACGUACGAUCUCCCUUUCGGGUAACAUAAACCCGUGUCGACAAAUCAUAGUUUUAGGCAAUGAGUCGUCUGACUCGUGCCUUCUUCGGGUAACCAUCUAACUCUCUUAAGCCCAAUUUUAUACUCUUUAAAACAUAUCUUCAUCUUAUAAUCGUUUUAUCUCUUAUCCUAUUUUCGGGCAUAUACCCCUGACUUGCAAGUUAUAUCACACUCUACUGCCCUCUUAUCGAUUCAAAAGAUAUUAUUGACCACCCAAAAGAUCUACUAAUUAAUAAGAGUUCAUAUUUUAAAAUAGUUGAAAAACAUGUACUUCUUCCUUCAACACUUUAUUUACGGUGGUCACCUUUCUUAUCAAGUUUUAAGCCAUUCUCAUGGGAAAACAUGACCAUUUACAAAACAAGUAAAAACAACCUCUCAUUUCCUCAUAUAAAACAGUAUAAUUGUACAUAUUAAUUCAUCAACAGACCCAAGCCUUUAGCAAUUCGCAUAAUUAAUUCACAACAUGUAUAACUCAAGGGAUUUCAUAGUAAAAAAAAAAAGGGAAUUACAGAUCCCAUGCUCUCAUAUAACUUCACAAUUCUGAUAUCACAUGAUCACACGAAUAUAAUUCGAGUUUUAAACACCAAUUUACAAUUUCUACAAUACUUCAUCAAAUCAUAGGAUUUCCAAUACAUAUUUAUCAAGAUCUUGAAACCAAUUUCACAUGAAUAUGUAUAUACUCUUUAAAUCAUGUUUAAAAAUAGUAAAUCCAUGCCCAUGAGGUUUAGGAUAGUCCACAUACCUUAGAUUACUUAUUUUGAAGAAUAGGACUUGAAUCUUGACUCGUUUCUUGGAAAUCUUGAACUUAAAGAUGGAUUCUUGAUCUUUGGGGGUGGAGUUAAGGUUUAGUUUUUUAGGGAAUUUAAGUAACUUUUGGCAUAAUAUGCCCUAAUCACGACUUAAUUUUGUGUUUAGGCUAAGUUAAGACGAGGGGAAAAGACUAAAAUACCCUCUUGAACCUAAAAAAUAUAUUAAAAUGAACUGGGCACCCGAUACGUUAGGCGAAGUGACGCAUCGGGCACCAGUACGACAGGUAUCACGAUGCGUCGAUAUCGCAUUGAGUUACUAUUUCUGAAAUCCAAACAUGUCCCUUCCCUCGUUCGAAAAAUCUGAAACUCCCCUGAGAGAUUCCUUUUACACCUCCAAAUAUGAAUCAACUCACUAAUCUAUGUCUCGGGGUCGGAAAGGUCAAUUUAGAACUCAUUGAACUUUAGGAGUUUAAAAUAUGACUUAAGUCCUUUUUAACACUUAGGAAAAUUUCAGGUUGUUAGCUUUUUAAGCUUACUACUAAACGUGGUAACAAUUCAAGAAUGCUAUGAGGUGUUACAUUAUCCUUCUCUUGGGUUCAUUCAUCCUCGAAUGAUGGCUCGAAACACAGAUAAGCACGACUUCAAAAACACUAAGGAAAAGAUAAAGAGAGUAGUAUAUGAUUUGAACCUUCUAUGUCGUCAUCCACAGUCUCAAAAAGGUUUGGGUGUCUAGUUUGCAUGUCAUUUUCUGACUCCCAAGUAGCUUCCUCAGCUUUUUUUAUUCUUCCACAACACCUUAACCAAAACUAUCUCCUUACUUCUUAAUUUCCGAACUUGGCGAUCCAUAGUGGCAAUGGGCUCUUCUUCAUAUGACAAGGAGUCUUUCACAUUGACCUCCUCUAUAGGCAAUACUAGGGAAUGAUCUCCUAUGCACUUUUUCAACAUGGACACAUGGAAUACUGGGUGCACGAAAGCCAAACUCGUGGGUAACUCUAACUCAUAAGCAACCCCGCAAACUCUUCUUACAAUCUAAUAUGGUCCUAUAUAACGAGGACUAAGCUUCCCUUUCUUCCCGAAUUGCAUGACUCCCUUCAUAGGGGAGACUUUUAAGAAUACCCAAUCAUCCACCUCAAAUUCUAAAUCUCUCCUUCUAACAUCGGCAUAAGAUUUCCGGCGACUCUGAGCAGCCUUAAGUUAUUCCCUAAUUAUCUUUACUUUUUCCAUCUCCUAAUGACAAGGCUGGGCACAAACAACCGGGUUUCACCCACUUCGUACUAUCCAAUUGGUGAUUUACAUCUCCCAUAAAGCACCUCAAAAGGAGCUAUCUGAAUACUAGAAUGGUAGUUAUUGCUGUAGGCGAAUUCUAUCAAUGGAAAAUGGUCCACCCAACUACCUUUGAAGUCAAUCGCAUAGGCCCUCAACAUAUCCUCAAGGGCCUGAAUGGUGCGUUCGGCUUGCCCAUCAGUCUGAGGGUGGAAGGCAGUACUUAGGUUCACUUAGGUGCCUAAACCCCGUUGAAAGGACCUCCAAAACUACGAAGAAAAUUGCGUACCUCAGUCAGAUAUAAUGGACACAAAAGCACCAUGCAAAUGGACUAUCUCUCGAAUGUAUAGCUUGGCAUAGUUAUCCCCCACAUAGUUGAUUCGUACAGGAAGAAAAUGAGCGGACUUGGUCAACUUAUCCACGAUCACCCAAAUGGAGUCAUAUUGGUUUAGGGACUUCAAAAUCCCCGUAAUGAAGUCCAUAUUAAUCAUCUCCCACUUUCACAUAGGCAAGGCUAUCUCUUGAGAAGUGCCACCUGGCCUCAAAUGUUCUACCUUAACUUGCUGAUAAUUCAUACACUUAGAAACAAAAUUAACAUCUCUUUUCAUAUUAUUCUACCAAUAGAUGUUCUUAAGGUCAUGAUACAUUUUCGUAGAUCCUGGGUGAACCACAUAUCUCAAAGUGUGAGCUUUAUCAAAAAUUCUCUCUCGCAAACCAUUCAUGUUCAGUACAUACAACCUACCCUAAUAUCUCAGAAUCUCGUCUCCUCUAAUUUCAAAUGUCAUCACCUUUUGUUAACCAAUAUCUUUCUUAAUCUACAUCAAGAUGGGAUCCUCAGCCUGUUUCUCCUUAACUUCAGUACAUAAGGAGGAUUUAGCUAUCUCAUGAACAAUUACUCCUCCAUCUUCAGAAUCCAAAAGUCGAACUCCUAAAUUUAUAAGCCGAUGAAUAUCCCUCACGAUCUCCUUCUUCCCUUUCUCAACAUGAGAAAGACUGCCCAUUGACAACCUGCUAAGAGUAUCGACUACCACAUUGGCCUUGCCCAAAUGAUAGUGCAGGCUCAUGUCAUAAUCCUUCAAUAAUUCUAACCAACGCCUCUGCCUGAGAUUCAGCUCUUUCUGCAAGAAAACAUACUGCAAACUUUUGUGAUCAGUAAAUAUAUCUACAUGCACCCCAUAAGGAUAAUGCUGCCAGAUCUUAAGUACAAACACUACAGCUGCUAACUCUAAGUCAUGAGUGGGAUAAUUCUUUUCACGCACGUUCAACUGCCUAGAUGCAUAAUCUACCACUUUACCAUGCUACAUAAGCACGCACCCAAGUCCCCGGGGGAUGCAUCACAGUAAACAAUGAAGCCAUUUGUACCCUCAGGAAGGGUCAAAAUCAAUGCAGUAGUCAACUUGUCUUUCAAUUUCUCAAACCUAUUCUCACAAGAUUUUGACCACAAGAAUUUUGCCUUUUUCUGAGUCAAUUUGGUAAGGGGUGCAUCUAUGGAGGAAAAGCUCUCUACAAAGAUUUUGUAAUACCCUGCCAAACCCAGAAAGCUUCGGAUAUCGGUUGGAGUCAUGGUUCUAGGCCAUUUUCUUACUACCUCAAUCUUUUGGGGGUCAACCUUAAUCCCUUCACUAGACAUAAUGUUCCCCAGAAAAGCAAUGACGCUAAGCCAGAAUUCAUAUUUUGAAAACUUUGCAUAUAAUUCAUGAUCUUUGAGGGUCUGGAGAAUGAUUCGAAGGUGAUCAUCAUGAUCCUCUUCAUUUUUAGAAUAAACCAAGAUGUCGUUAAUAAAGACUAUGACGAACAGAUCUAGAAACUGAUAAAAAAACUAUUCAUUAGGUUCAUAAAAGUUGUGGGGGCAUUAGUCACCCCGAAGGACAUAACUAAGAAUUCAUAAUGGCCAUAUCGGGUUCGGAAAGCAUUUUUGAGAAUGUUAGCCUCCCUAACCUUCAACUGAUGAUACCCCGAAUGAAGAUCUAUUUUGGAGAAACAUGUAGCACCUUGGAGUUGAUCAGAUAAAUCAUCAAUUUUGGGAAGAGGAUAUUUAUUUUUACCAGUGACCUUAUUGAGCUGACGGUAGUCUAUACACACAUGGAGAGAGUCGUCUUUCUUAAGUACAAAGAGUACAGGUGCGCCCCAGGGAGAAACACUAGGGUGGAUAAAACCCUUAUCAAGAAGGUCUUUCAACUACUCUUUCAACUCUUUUAGUUCUGUAGGAGCCAUUCUGUAUGGUGGAAUAGAAAUAGGAUGAGUGUCCAGCAAUAAGUCAAUGCCAAAAUCUAUUUCCCUGCCAGGUGGUAUCCCCGGGAGAUCAUCAGGAAAAAAUUUUGGGAAUUCAUUAACUACAGCGAUAGACUGGAGGAAAGGACUUUCGAUACCAAAAUCUUUGACUUGAAUAAGAUAAUACAAAUAACCCUUGAAUAUCAGUCUACGGGCCCUGAGAUAAGAUAUGAAUUUCCCCUUAGGUGCUAAAGAAUACCCUUCCCAUUUUGGUUCAUUUGGAAAGUAAAAAGUAACUUUUCAGUGUCUAUAGUCUAGCAUGGCAUAACACGAAUGGAGCCAAUCCUUUUCCAAAAUGGCAUUAGAAUCAAUCAUAUCAAUCUAUAAAAGAUCUACCACAGUAUCAUGAUUAUAGAAAAACACAACACAAUUCCUAUACAUACCCUAGCCAUAAUAGAGUCACCAACAAGGGUUGAAACAGAGAAAGGUUCCAAAAUAAUUUCAGGCUCAAAACCAAAACUGACGGCUACAUACGAGGUCACAUAAGACAAGGUAUAUCCUGGAUCAAGAAACACAUACACAUUACAGGAGAAAAUUUAUAAUGUACUCGUCAUAACAUCUGGCGAAGCCUCAGCAUCCUAGUUGUUAGAUAAAGCAUAUAACUGGUUGCAACCACCACCGGUAGCUGAAGUAGCGCCCUUAGGAGGAGGGGCUGUGGAUGCGGCUUGGGACUUAGCUCCCCCAAAAUUUUCUUUUGUCGAGGGACAGUCCCUCUUGAUAUGGCCUGGCUGGCCAAAGGCAUAGAACACGAGAUUACCAAACUAUCACAACCCCGGAUGAUCCUUUCCACAUUUCCUAUAACAUGGGUAUGCUCGAUAAGUCUGAGCUACACAUCCCUGAGACUGAGUGCCUAGGGCUCUAGGCCUGUCACCUGACUGGAACCGCUGUUCACCCAAAAUCCAGGGCACAAGUGCACUUGCUGAAGACUGAGCAUUACUCCAAAACUUCUUUUUAGACCACCUAUUUCCCCAAUUACCACCUUGAUACAGACUGUUAUUCUGGUCUGUAGAUCUGGCUUUCUUGGCCUGCCUGUGUUUCUCCCUGGCCUCUGCCACCCUUUUCUUCUGCUCUUCAACCUGUUGCAUAUCAACAAAAAAUCUAGAGAAAUCCAUAUCUCAAUUCAACAUCGCUCCUUUACAUUCUAGCACCAGAUCAUUCGAGAGACCAAAUGCAAACUUUCUCAUGUGAGCUCUCAUAUUACCUACCAAUUUUGGAGCAUACCUGGACAACUGAGUGAAAUUUAAUGUAUACUCUUUGACACUCAUUUUUCCUUAAUUUAAAUUAAUAAAUUCCUCAGCCUUUUGACUCCCUCAACUCCUAGGGAAAGCAACGGUCUAGAAAAGUUUCCACAAAUUCACCCUACACAGAAGGCUCAGCAUUACUACCCUUCGAGUCCUCCAAUUCAUUAUACCACUGGUUCGCUACAUACUUCAAAUGAUAGGCUGCCAACUCAACCCCUUCAACCUCAUUUGCAUACAUAACUUGGAAAAUGUUCUCUAGUUCUUCAAUGAACCCUUGGGUAUCCUCCUCAAUUUUCGUACCAAUAAACAUAGGCGGGUUCAGCCUCAUGAAUUAACCAACCCGCAUAAUCUCAGGUGAACCAAACACAGACCCUAUAUCUUCAUACAGACUAGUUUGAAAGGCCACCAGCUGAGCUAUCAUAUGGAUAGACGGUCGAAACUCAGUAUUCGUAACUUCUCUCUGAGGAGGCUGGGGAUGGUUAACACUGGUUUGUGGAGUCUAAGGUGGAUUAGCCAAAACUGGAGGAACUCUCGGAGCAGCAACAAACUUUGGGGAACGAGUUCUAUUAUGAGUCCGCAUGCCAUGAGUGGGACGAACAUCCUCAGCUUGGGUGUUUUGUUCAUUAGUUCUAUGGGGAGGCAUAAUCAAUUUUCUAAAAUACAGGGAAUCAUUGGUUAGAGGACAUUCAGACUCUACAACACGGACUAAAUCAUGAAAGAAAGAGAGAGACGUUUCUAAACGCCUUGUUUACUAGCUCAACAAUACUAGAACUAUGUUUGAGAUGGCAAAAGAACUUUGUUACAAAAAAGUGUACAAAGUCAAAGAAGGAUAUUUUUGUAAAUAAACAUUUCUUUUAUAGAAAUUAUGUAAGAUAUAUUAUUUCUAAUACAUCAAGCCAAACAAUGUAUAAGAAACAAUAUCAGCAUAACUAAUACAAGCAUUACUAAUGUAAGUACUACUAAUACACUAUAUUCUACAUUGUUCUUAUACACUCUACCAAACGACCCCUUAAGGUGGAUCAAUAUGGACAAUUGCAUGCACAUGAACUAAUAAAUCUCAUCAUAAAACUUCAAACUAAACUAUUAUAUCUUAACAAGAGGCUAAAGGUUAAAGAAUGUAAACAAAGUCUACCCCUACAUAACAUUUGUCAAGAUAUUUCCCGAAGGAGAUGAUUUUUAAGGCAUACCAAAUGUAUCAAGCAUAACAAUUAUUGAAGAGCUAACUAAAUUAUGAGAUGCCAUCCAUUCAAGACUUCUCACUGAAUGUUCUUAAACAUAUAUAAUUAGAUUAGUACUACUAGAUUCUUACCCAAACUCAAAAAUAUCGGCGGCAAAAUAGAGAAUUUCUAAUACCAUGGUCACACUAUACUUGAACUAACAAAGUACAUAUUUCGUGUAUAGUAUUCUGUCUAGCAAACCAUACACAAACAUGUUGUCAUAUUUUAUCUUAAGUGGACAUCUAAAUUGAGAUUUAGAAGUAAACAAAAUGUAUUCAGUACUCUAAAGCACCACAAUAGGCAUAUAGUAAAAGAAGAAAUAUUGUUAUAAACAAGUGUCCUAGAAAUAUCAAACAAACACAACCAUGAAAGACAAACAAGAAACAUAGGGAACAACUAAUUUAGUAUUAGUGAACAACCAAAGCCGAUCCUAGCUUCAAAAUACUAAAUUAUAAGCAUAUUUUAAGGAAGUAUUAGAGUCAGAAGGACAAAAUGAGAAAAACACUAACCUAUUUUGGUGCAGUGAACGUGAGGCGCAUGUCUCGGAUCUACUCCUUACUCCCAUAACCAUUCAAACCUCAGAUUGAGUAACGUAAAUCAACACAAAAUCGACCAAGGAAAAAGUUAAAAAUCGGGGAGACUUUUAAUUACUCCAAAAAUACUAACAACUAAAGUUUAAAGCUUUCCUAGAGGGAAACUAACAGCUAAUUCGAAAAGUUUUGGAGUAAAGAGGUGUCUGAAAAGUUUUUCAAGACCAAAGAGAUGACCAAAACAGAAAGGAAUUCCGCUCGGUCGAGAAACAAAAUAGAGUGAAGUAAACAAGUAUAUUUUUUAGCGUGAAAAAGAGUAACAACUUUCUGAGUUGUAGGAGCAAUGGCUGCCAAAAAAUGUCCUUAAAUGGAUUAUGAACGCAAGUAUCUAUAGAGAGAAAUUAGAAUUCUUCAACUUUUGAGAAAACUUCUUGAAUUCAAAAUUUAAAUUCUUGAAAGGCUCGAUUGCAGGUGAUAAUGAUGAAAUUCAAAAAUAAAAUGAUGGAUUUUUUCCCUUUCUAUUGACGUGAAGGAAGAAAGAAACGAUUUUGAGGUGGAGGAUUUGGAACCGUCGGUUUAAAGAGGUAAUGACCUCAAAAUUCAGAGGUCUUUUGAUUUUCUUCACUUCUCAGAGAUGACAGUGAUAGAUAAGAGCUUUUGUAGCUUUGAUUUGAGAAGACAAAAGGUUAUGGAGAGAGAUGACUGAAGUGACGGGGUGAGAAAAAGAUAAAAAAGUUAAGGGGAAAGGCUAAGACCAUCGAAAUUUGCCAUUAUCCAGUGGUCAGGGUUUGGUCGGUAUUUACAGAGAGUGAGAGAGAAGAGGGUUGAUGUUUUGGUUGAAGUGGAGCGAUAGAAGUAAAGGAGUAUUAGGCAUUAGGGGACUGGUUUAGUUAGGAGUGAAUUUGGGUCGGGUCAGGUUUUAGCUUUGGUUGGG
This 8885-nucleotide long non-coding RNA is filed under the name Capsicum annuum. RNAcentral describes it as "long non-coding RNA (CANN_LNC015258)". The record is from RNAcentral. Lineage: Eukaryota; Viridiplantae; Streptophyta; Magnoliopsida; Solanales; Solanaceae.